RNAcentral lists this ribosomal RNA (420 nucleotides) under uncultured Luteimonas sp. RNAcentral describes it as "bacterial SSU rRNA". It matches the Rfam family "Bacterial small subunit ribosomal RNA", at positions 89 to 502 of the family's 1533-position model. The record is from RNAcentral. Lineage: Bacteria; Pseudomonadati; Pseudomonadota; Gammaproteobacteria; Lysobacterales; Lysobacteraceae.
GAAGGCAGGGCGGACCCGUUCUAUUAAAGCUUGGGAAUCUGCCUGUUAGUGGGGGACAACCCUUGGGAAACUCGGGCUAAUACCGCAUACGCACUACGGUGGAAAGCGGCGGACCGCAAGGCGUCGCGCGAUUGGAUGAGCCGAUGUCCGAUUAGCUAGUUGGCGGGGUAAAGGCCCACCAAGGCGACGAUCGGUAGCUGGUCUGAGAGGAUGAUCAGCCACACUGGAACUGAGACACGGUCCAGACUCCUACGGGAGGCAGCAGUGGGGAAUAUUGGACAAUGGGCGAAACCCUGAUCCGAAGGUGCCGCGUGCGGGAAGAAGGCCUUCGGGUUGUAAACCGCUUUUGGCAGGAACGAAACGGCGCUCGCUAACACCGAGCGCUAAUGACGGUACCUGCAGAAUAAGCACCGGCUAACU